CUACGGGGUGCUGCAGUUAAGGAACUUUUCCAAUGCUCGAAAGAGUGAGAAAAUGAGCCAGAGUGUUUUCUUUUAGAAAACUUUUAUUUGUUGUAAAAAGACAGAUGAAUAAGGACUGGGUAAGACCGGUGCCAGCCGCCGCGGUAAUCCCGGCGGUCCAAGUCGCAUCCACAAUUAUUGGGUCUAAAACAUCCGUAGCUUGUUUUGUAAGUCUCUUGUGAAAUCUCAAAUCUCAAGUUUGAGGCGUGCAAGAGAUACUGUAAAACUCGAGACCGGAAGACGCAAAGAGUAUGUUUGAGGUAGUGGUAAAAUAUGUUAAUCUCAAACAGACUAACAAUGGCGAAGGCACUUUGCGAGUACGGAUCUGACAGUGAGGGAUGAAGGCUAGGGGCGCAAAAGGGAUUAGAUACCCUGGUAGUC
This 420-nucleotide ribosomal RNA is filed under the name uncultured archaeon. RNAcentral's name for it is "partial 16S ribosomal RNA". It matches the Rfam family "Archaeal small subunit ribosomal RNA", at positions 323 to 746 of the family's 1478-position model. The record is from RNAcentral.